Chinchilla lanigera (long-tailed chinchilla) is the source of this 312-nucleotide long non-coding RNA. RefSeq lists it as uncharacterized. Lineage: Eukaryota; Metazoa; Chordata; Mammalia; Rodentia; Chinchillidae. The transcript has 2 exons. The record is from RefSeq and is a predicted model, not a curated record.
CCUAUGCUGUGGUGGGAGGCAAAGGGGAGCUGAAAUGAAAUCUUUAUUAUUGUCAUAAAGACAUGUACCCUGGCUUCUAGAUCCACAAAGAAAAGAUAGAUGUCACCUCUCUCCUGUAAUAUCCAUAGGCUGUGCCUGAGGAAAUGACAGUAAUAGGCCUUGGCAACACCCGGGCACACAAGAGAGUCUAAGGCCUGGAGGAAAAAAUUCCAUGGCAACACUGGGAUUGAAGAGUUCUUGCUGAAGAUCGAAGAUGUGAGCACAGCCUCGAGUUGUGGGUUGUGACUAAUAAAAUAGCAGUUUUGUAAAGCC